This 494-nucleotide ribosomal RNA is filed under the name uncultured bacterium. Its description in RNAcentral is "partial 16S ribosomal RNA". It matches the Rfam family "Bacterial small subunit ribosomal RNA", at positions 28 to 507 of the family's 1533-position model. The record is from RNAcentral.
GACGAACGCUGGCGGCGUGCUUAACACAUACAAGUCGAACGGAAAGGCCUGCUUUCCCUUGUGGAUUGCGGGUACUCGAGUGGCGAACGGGUGAGUAACACGUGAGUGAUCUGCCCCCAACUUGGGUAUAAGCCUGGGAAACUGGGUCUAAUUCCCGAUAGGACUGCAGGGUGGUGCCUGUGGUGGAAAACGAUUUUCUAGUGGUUGGGGAUGAGCUCGCGGCCUAUCAGCUUGUUGGUGGGGUAAUGGCCUACCAAGGCGGCGACGGGUAGCCGGCCUGAGAGGGUGGACGGCCACAUUGGGACUGAGAUACGGCCCAGACUCCUACGGGAGGCAGCAGUGGGGAAUAUUGCACAAUGGGCGGAAGCCUGAUGCAGCGACGCCGCGUGGGGGAUGACGGCCUUCGGGUUGUAAACUCCUUUCGACCGCGAGGAAGCCACCUGGUUGGAAGGGUGGUGACGGUAGUGGUAGAAGAAGCACCGGCUAACUACGUG